UCCUACGGGUGGCUGCAGUGGGGAAUUUUGCGCAAUGGGGGAAACCCUGACGCAGCAACGCCGCGUGGAGGAUGAAGCCCCUUGGGGCGUAAACUCCUUUCGACCAAGACGAUAAUGACGGUACUGGUGGAAGAAGCACCGGCUAACUCUGUGCCAGCAGCCGCGGUAAUACAGAGGGUGCGAGCGUUGUUCGGAAUUAUUGGGCGUAAAGGGCGCGUAGGCGGUGCGGUAAGUCACCUGUGA
Molecule: ribosomal RNA, 243 nt
Filed under: Klebsiella pneumoniae
Lineage: Bacteria; Pseudomonadati; Pseudomonadota; Gammaproteobacteria; Enterobacterales; Enterobacteriaceae
Description: partial 16S ribosomal RNA
Rfam family: Bacterial small subunit ribosomal RNA
Source: RNAcentral